Molecule: long non-coding RNA, 1111 nt
Filed under: Numida meleagris (helmeted guineafowl)
Lineage: Eukaryota; Metazoa; Chordata; Aves; Galliformes; Numididae
Description: lncRNA (ENSNMEG00000000179.1)
Source: RNAcentral
CCAAAACAUCUGCUGGUUUGCAGCUGUGCUAAGAUUUAUGGAGGAGGUGCUGCCCAUGCAAUCAGCAUUGCCCUCAGGUCCCCAAAGCUACCUAUUCUUUCCUCAUCCUCUACUCCUCUUUAAACACAGCUGUGUGCUCUGUUUUUCACAUUUCUCUUCCCCACUUCAUUUCUAAUCAUUUACACCUAGAUCUUGACCUCAAAUGUCUCCUUGGAUCAUGACUUUAUGAGUUACUUCCCUCAGUCCCCUCCUACCUCUUGGUUUCGCAAUCAGCCUUCAACAUCACAGCACACCGGUGCUCAGCCAGAACCUCUCCCUGUGCUACGCCAAGCCUUAACUUCCUGCCGGAUCUGGCCCCACACCACAAGCUCUCCUCAAGAACCAGGCAGAGCUGGCUGACCUGUUUGUGCCACAGCCAGAUGCCUCUGUGUAGCAGGGCCUCAUUGAGAGAUGUGGCAUCAAGCAGAUGGUGCCUGAUACAGGGUGCAGGACAGCAUGGAAAGCCAGAGAUGGCUGCACUCAGGGGAAGGUAUCUUGUUGCUGUUCCUGAAGAGACGCCAAGGACUUCACAGGAGAAUCUUGGGCUUUCCUGCACUCAAGAGUAGUUUGCCUAGAAGGAGGAGGAAGGAUUUGUGCAAGGAGUACAGCCAAAGCUGGAUGACCACUGGUGGAUUAUCUACAGCUGCAGAGAACCGUCUGGAAGCCACUCUCUCAGACUGUGAGGAUGAAUCAUUCUGUGGCUACCACAAAUCAGGACCCUGUGACAAGUGCCCUGAGCUCUUGCAAACCCAUCAAAUGGGAGCAGGAUGGAGUGAGACAAUGUUGAAGACAAUGUUGUAUGAGAUGUAGCACCAUAAUAAUAAGACCCCUGGAACAGUCAUCUUCACCUCUCCAAGACCUUUACUUAUCUCUGCUUCAUGGGCCCAACCACUCCAGCCCACGUUCUGCACAACAGUUUCCAUGAUCUUGCGGACCAUCAGCAGGCUGUGAGACUUCUCUUAUGUCUGAGUAUCAGCAAGACUCCAUCUGGAAUUUAAUCCAGCACAGUAUCUCUGCAAUACCUGAAUACUGCAUGCAGCCUAACACCAAAUAAAGUCAAUGGUAAGCAACA